AUUGAACGCUGGCGGCAUGCCUUACACAUGCAAGUCGAACGGCAGCACGGGUGCUUGCCCCUGGUGGCGAGUGGCGAACGGGUGAGUAAUACAUCGGAACAUGUCCUGUAGUGGGGGAUAGCCCGGCGAAAGCCGGAUUAAUACCGCAUACGAUCUACGGAUGAAAGCGGGGGACCUUCGGGCCUCGCGCUAUAGGGUUGGCCGAUGGCUGAUUAGCUAGUUGGUGGGGUAAAGGCCUACCAAGGCGACGAUCAGUAGCUGGUCUGAGAGGACGACCAGCCACACUGGGACUGAGACACGGCCCAGACUCCUACGGGAGGCAGCAGUGGGGAAUUUUGGACAAUGGGCGAAAGCCUGAUCCAGCAAUGCCGCGUGUGUGAAGAAGGCCUUCGGGUUGUAAAGCACUUUUGUCCGGAAAGAAAUCCUUGGCCCUAAUACGGUCGGGGGAUGACGGUACCGGAAGAAUAAGUACCGGCUAACUACGUG
Molecule: ribosomal RNA, 486 nt
Filed under: uncultured bacterium
Lineage: Bacteria
Description: partial 16S ribosomal RNA
Rfam family: Bacterial small subunit ribosomal RNA
Source: RNAcentral